AUGCACGCUGGCGGCGUGCCUAAUACAUGCCAGUCGAGCGAACAGACGAGGAGCUUGCUCCUCUGACGUUAGCGGCGGACGGGUGAGUAACACGUGGAUAACCUACCUAUAAGACUGGGAUAACUUCGGGAAACCGGAGCUAAUACCGGAUAAUAUAUUGAACCGCAUGGUUCAAUAGUGAAAGACGGUUUUGCUGUCACUUAUAGAUGGAUCCGCGCCGCAUUAGCUAGUUGGUAAGGUAACGGCUUACCAAGGCAACGAUGCGUAGCCAACCUGGGAGGGGAAUCGGCCAAACUGAAAUGGAGACCCGUCCCAGCCCCCAAGGGGAGCAAGCGGAGGGGAACCUUCGGCAAUGGGGGAAAGCCUGACGGAGCAACGCCGGGUGGGUGAUGAAGGUCUUCGGUUCGUAAACUCUGUUAUUAGGGAAGAACAAAUGUGUAAGUAACUAUGCACGUCUUGACGGUACCUAAUCAGAAAGCCACGGCUAACUACGUG
Molecule: ribosomal RNA, 495 nt
Filed under: uncultured bacterium
Lineage: Bacteria
Description: partial 16S ribosomal RNA
Rfam family: Bacterial small subunit ribosomal RNA
Source: RNAcentral